This 133-nucleotide ribosomal RNA is filed under the name uncultured bacterium. RNAcentral describes it as "partial 16S ribosomal RNA". It matches the Rfam family "Bacterial small subunit ribosomal RNA", at positions 356 to 481 of the family's 1533-position model. The record is from RNAcentral.
GAGGAAUAUUGGGCAAUGGGCGCAAGCCUGACCCAGCCACGCCGCGUGUGUGAUGAGGGCCUUCGGGUCGUAAAGCACUGUGGGGAGAGACGAAACAGCGCACCAGGAAAUGGGUGCGCCUUGACGGUACCUC